This 299-nucleotide ribosomal RNA is filed under the name uncultured bacterium. RNAcentral describes it as "partial 16S ribosomal RNA". It matches the Rfam family "Bacterial small subunit ribosomal RNA", at positions 794 to 1089 of the family's 1533-position model. The record is from RNAcentral.
UCCACGCUGUAAACGAUGAGUACUAGCUGUUGGAUUCGGUGUAAAGGAUCUAGUGGCGCAGCUAACGCGUUAAGUACUCCGCCUGGGGACUACGGCCGCAAGGCUAAAACUCAAAGGAAUUGACGGGGACCCGCACAAGCGGUGGAGCAUGUGGUUUAAUUCGAUGCAACGCGAAGAACCUUACCUGGUCUUGACAUCCUGAGAACUUUCUAGAGAUAGAUUGGUGCCUUCGGGAACUCAGUGACAGGUGCUGCACGGCUGUCGUCAGCUCGUGUUGUGAAAUGUUGGGUUAAGUCCCG